Molecule: ribosomal RNA, 450 nt
Filed under: uncultured bacterium
Lineage: Bacteria
Description: partial 16S ribosomal RNA
Rfam family: Bacterial small subunit ribosomal RNA
Source: RNAcentral
GUGGGGAAUAUUCCGCAAUGGACGAAAGUCUGACGGAGCAACGCCGCGUGAGUGAUGAAGGUUUUCGGACUGGAAAGCUCUGUUGUUUGGGACGAAAGUGCCUCUUGCGAACAGUUACGGGUAUUGACGGUACUAAACGAGGAAGCCACGGCUAACUACGUGCCAGCAGCCGCGGUAAUACGUAGGUGGCAAGCGUUGUCCGGAAUUAUUGGGCGUAAAGAGCAUGUAGGCGGGAAUCUAAGUCUGUUGUUAAAAUGCGGGGCUCAACCCCGUAUUGCGAUGGAAACUGGGUUUCUUGAGUGCAGGAGAGGAAAGGGGAAUUCCCAGUGUAGCGGUGAAAUGCGUAGAUAUUGGGAGGAACACCAGUGGCGAAGGCGCCUUUCUGGACUGUGUCUGACGCUGAGAUGCGAAAGCCAGGGUAGCGAACGGGAUUAGAUACCCGAGUAGUCC